AGAGAGAGACAUGCGCGCAUAUCAAUAAGCGGAGGAAAAGAAACUAACAAGGAUUCCCUUAGUAACGGCGAGUGAAGCGGGAAGAGCUCAAAUUUGAAAUCUUCAAGGUUUUACCUUGACGAAUUGUAGUUUAAAGAAGUGUUUUCUGCUGAAGUUUUGGUAAAAGUUCUUUGGAAUAGGACAUCAUAGAGGGUGAGAAUUCCGUAUUUGACCAUUAUUUUCAGCUUUGUGAUACACUUUCAAAGAGUCGGAUUGUUUGGGAAUGCAGUCCAAAAUGGGUGGUAAAUUUCAUCUAAAGCUAAAUAUUGGCGAGAGACCGAUAGCGUAACAAGUACCGUGAGGGAAAGAUGAAAAGAACCUUGAAAAGAGAGUUAAACAGUACGUGAAAUUGUCAAAAGGGAAGCGUUUGACACCAGUGUUGUUUUCUCGAAAAUCAAUUAAAAAUGGCUCGAUUUUGUAUUGUUGAGACCUUAAAAGCUCACUGUACAUUUUUCGUGUCUUUUUUAAUGCACUUUUCGUUUAACAAGUCAACAUCAGUUUCUUUUGUUGUAAAAGGGUCAUUGGAAGGUGGCUUUCUUUUCGGAGAAAGUGUUUAUAGCCUUUGGCCUCUGCAAUCGGAAGAGACUGAGGUCUGCAGCGUAGACUCUUCGGGGUUAGAUACAUUUGUGCUAAGUUAUAGCUUUUUAUAGACAACUUGUUGACUAUAAUUAGUCUUGUAGCUUACUCGCUUAUGCUAUUUUACCUACGCUUAGGAUGUUGAAGUCAUCGUAUCGCGC
Molecule: ribosomal RNA, 776 nt
Filed under: uncultured Neocallimastigales
Lineage: Eukaryota; Fungi; Neocallimastigomycota; Neocallimastigomycetes; Neocallimastigales
Description: partial large subunit ribosomal RNA
Rfam family: Eukaryotic large subunit ribosomal RNA
Source: RNAcentral